This 253-nucleotide ribosomal RNA is filed under the name uncultured bacterium. RNAcentral describes it as "partial 16S ribosomal RNA". It matches the Rfam family "Bacterial small subunit ribosomal RNA", at positions 524 to 776 of the family's 1533-position model. The record is from RNAcentral.
UACGGAGGUGGCAAGCGUUGCUCGGAAUCACUGGGCGUAAAGCGCACGUAGGCGGAUCGAUCAGUCAGGGGUGAAAUCCCAGGGCUCAACCCUGGAACUGCCUUUGAUACUGUCGAUCUGGAGUAUGGAAGAGGUGAGUGGAAUUCCGAGUGUAGAGGUGAAAUUCGUAGAUAUUCGGAGGAACACCAGUGGCGAAGGCGGCUCACUGGUCCAUUACUGACGCUGAGGUGCGAAAGCGUGGGGAGCAAACAGG